GCCAAGCAGAAUCCUGGCAGCAAAUUGAGGACUUCCUGUUAGCUAACAGGAACUUCCUGUUAGCUAGCCUAACCCAUAACGCCACACCCCUACCUGCAGUGAGCUGCAACCAGGCACAGAUCUUGUACACGGUGGCGGCGCUGCAGAAGCGGAACAGGCAAAGACACAACACGCUGGUCCACACCGCCCACAGGGACACGCCCACCAGGACCGCCACCGACUGGAAGGACGGCAGAGGCGACAGACUAGACAAACGACCGCGACAAUCUGGAACCGGACGGUCCGACUCCAGGCACACCUGUCAUGGAACAACACAACCACAGUUAAAAAGGUCCGUAAAUCACGUGACUCUCCAGGACCAAUCAAUAGUCAACCUCAAAUAAUCCCAGGGUGCCGCUAGGUGGAGCUGUUCCUACUCCCGGGUGGUGGGAAUCUGAAGUUCCGAUCCAUGACGGCUGCACCAGAACCACCACCUGGAUGACGGCGAAGCACAGCGUGCACACGGCCCAAAGCACGCCCACCGCACGCGCACUACGCACGAACUCUGUCUGGUAGAGACGAGACAGGUCCGCCAGGUCCGGAGACGCCAUCACGUGACUUAGAUCACUUGCCUUCCUUGGCGGUACAAAAGCAUGUGGAAUAACAUCAUAACGUCGAGUGACGUAAUGAUCAUCGGCAAACGUACAAAACGAAAACGAAACCAACCUGCAGAUGUUUGACGUGCACGCACACGCCGCUUGGAAGGAUCGAGGCGCGUGACCGCAGCUGGAUGCUAUGGAUGGCACGCGCAGGAGAGAUGCUCAUGCAAGUCGGGGCGAGAGAGAGAGAGCGCGAGCGACGUCUGCAGGAGGCGGAAGGAACUGCAGGGUGGGAUCUCCUCUCCGAACUUGGCGCUGUGGGCUGCAUUCUUGGCAUCAAAUACGACCUGGAGGCACAAAUGACGUCAAUGAUCAACAAUGGCGGGGGGAACAUCUCUCCGCAAAUCAGCUCCAGAGUCCCCUGAGGCUUGGACCAACCACACGCUCCCUCUGGCUCGUCUCCCACGGCAACCGUUGUUGACGCUGCAGCAUCGACCUGAGCACAUUGAGAAAACUUUCAUGGCAGGAAAUCAGAAAUAAAAGUAACCAGCUACUGAAGGGGAAGGAGGCGGAGCCUGAGACACCGGACAUGACUCCGCCUUUGCAUACUCGUCACAGUGGAUGUCGGACCUGCCCACUGGAGUGGAAGAGGUCUGACUGAGGUCCAAGCUGGCCAAUCCCUGUGUGAGCUGGUCCAGACUACACUGCGCCUGAUUGGACAAUGAAGUUUAUCUGGACCGCUUUGUCUUGACUUCCUGCCUUUGCUUUGGCGACUCCGUUUCUCAUGUGACUUCGGGGAAGGUACGGCUGCUCGUACGGAGUCUGGGACUGAGGUGAAAGCGACUUCCAGUAAGGGGCGUGGUGGCGGAUGACCUCGUUGAUGGUUGUCACGGCACUGCGGUGAGGCGGGGGCAGGGGUAUCAGCAGUGAAGGCGGGGGGUCGCCGAGCAACACGCUUGUACACAUGGCCAUGGAUUCGGAGAUGGACGUCAAGUUGUAACCGCCCUAAAGAGAGAUGUCACUUCCUCUUCGUCUUCGUCUUCACCUUCACCGGUCAUAGAUCUGUGAUCAGCUGACUUACCUCGAGUAUGAGCAAGACCCGCCCACCGGCCAAUGACAUCAGCAUAAGCAAUCGGCAUGACGAUAUGGUGAAAGGCGGCAAGAUACUCGGCGUCCCCCAUUCGCCCGCCACUCCACCCCACAUUGACGUUGAAUCCGGCCCCCUCUGCCACGCCCACCCUGCCAGGAGCGGCGUCCUCCGAGGACGGGAAAAACGUUCCGUUGUCGUAGCGAUGGAGCGAGACAUAUAGGACGCUGGAAAACAGGAAGUGAAGAUAAUAACACAUUUCCCGUCACUUGAAUCGACUUCCUCACCUGCUGUCGUCCUCAAACAUGUGCUGGGUGCCGUUGCCGUGGUGAACGUCCCAGUCUAGGAUAAGCACGCGGAGAGGUGCAUGAUGGGAGAUCUUCUGAGCGUAGCGAGCGGCGAGCGCUGCUGUGUUGAAGAAACAAAAACCACAUGCGGAGUCUCUUUCUGCGUGAUGGCCUGGUGGACGCACAAUGGCCACGCCGUUCCUCACCUGCACACACACACACACAUAUAUACACACCAGACUGAAUAUGAAGACUUGAACCAGGCACCCUGUGGUCCAGCUAGUUUUAUACCUGUCCAUUCAGGAUGUGGUCCAGAAUAUUGAAGCAGCUUCCAACAGCCAACAUGGCCGACUGGAAGCUCUGAUUGUUGAUGUAGAUGGAGUUGUAUUCCUCUCCAAGCUUAUGCAGAUCCCUUGCCUUCAUCGUGGAUGUGGACUUCAUAUGCUGGAUGUAGUCCGCACUACACACACACACACACACACACACACACACACACACACACACAGUCAU
Non-coding RNA from Doryrhamphus excisus (bluestripe pipefish), 2462 nucleotides. The record is from RefSeq and is a predicted model, not a curated record. NCBI's taxonomy places the organism in Eukaryota, Metazoa, Chordata, Actinopteri, Syngnathiformes, Syngnathidae.